UACAGAGGGUGCAAGCGUUGUUCGGAAUUAUUGGGCGUAAAGGGAGUGUAGGCGGUGAGUUAAGUCUUCUGUGAAAUCUACGGGCUUAGCCUGUAAAGUGCAGAGGAAACUGGCUGACUUGAGUAUCGGAGAGGGCAGGGGAAUACCCAGUGUAGAGGUGAAAUUCGUAGAGAUUGGGUGGAACACCAGUGGCGAAGGCGCCUGCCUGGCUGAUGACUGACGCUGAGACUCGAAAGCAUGGGGAGCAAACAGG
Molecule: ribosomal RNA, 253 nt
Filed under: uncultured bacterium
Lineage: Bacteria
Description: partial 16S ribosomal RNA
Rfam family: Bacterial small subunit ribosomal RNA
Source: RNAcentral